Molecule: long non-coding RNA, 1162 nt
Organism: Brassica napus (rape)
Lineage: Eukaryota; Viridiplantae; Streptophyta; Magnoliopsida; Brassicales; Brassicaceae
Exons: 2
Source: RefSeq, a predicted model, not a curated record
UAUAUAUCAUCCGGUUGACCAAAAUAAAUAGAUUGUAAUAGUAUUUGGCAGAUAUCCACACAAGUUUUUCAAAAAUUAAAUUAUUUUUUUAUUUUUUUUUCUGUAAUUUUCUUUCCAACCAAUGAGAAUAUGACAAAUUGUAGGUGAUUCUCUCAAAUUUUUUUUUGAAAACUGCCCUGGUUCUUUUAAAGUCUUUGAAAAAUCUCUCAUAUCUAUAUUUCGUAUGAUAGAUCUCUCUAUUUCAACUUUAUUUCAUCUCUUUUUCAUUUAAAUUAAGCGAUUUUUGUAGAGAUUUGUAUCAUAUAUGCUAAAAGUUGUUUUCUCAAAAUAUAAAAAAUAUAUUUAAAAUUGAAUCAGUUUCGAAAUCAAUGUAAUUUUAAUAGUAUUUUCAUAUUUCAACUCAUUUUCAGAUAAGUUCCCCAACUAAAUUUUAAUUUAUUUCAUGAGGAAGCAUGCUCAAUACAUUUUUUAUUCAUAAUAAUGAGACAGAGGAGACUAAAAUAAGGUUAAUAUAUAUUUAUGAACUUAUUAAGGUGUAUGAUAUUCAUCACAUAUAUACUAUAAGAAUAACGAUAAUGUUGGUCAACGAAUAUUCCAAUGAUUCAUUUAGGUGUCAAAGUUAUUUAUUAACAAAAAUAAAAGAGAAAAUUGGCUUUUAUGCCAUAAACUAGGACGUAUUAAUGAGCUUAUCAUUUUCAUUCAACCUUAUAAACCGUUUCGAUUUUAACCCUACUCCCCCCCUCCCCCACCCCACUCUAUCUUAGAUGUGUCAUGUGGGUUGUGCCAGUAAGUCAGCCAGUCAUGUGAGGCUCAUUUUCCGAAACAUAUUUGUGUGUGCAAAUCGGAGUUGAGAUGUGUUUUGCGGCGUAGGUGAAAGUUGUUUCGGAUCUAGAGUUGGAGCAAUUGAUGAAGUCCUUUCCAAAUUAAGAAGCUACUAAAGAGCGAAGCUUUUCAAGUUGGGUUAUGAUGAGUUCUUGAAGUUGUUGUUCAAUGUGGAUAACUUUUGUAUUAGUUGCUAUUAUAUCGAUUAUCUGAUAUUAUUUAGAUUUCAAUGAAUUUUAUGUUUUAUUUCAAUUUUUUUAUCAGUUGUUACAAACAUGUACCAAAAAUUGUAAAUUAUUAGUAAGUUGUCAAAUGGUUAUAUACAUAAUUUGUUAGUUGA